Long non-coding RNA from Etheostoma cragini (Arkansas darter), 1299 nucleotides. RefSeq lists it as uncharacterized. NCBI's taxonomy places the organism in Eukaryota, Metazoa, Chordata, Actinopteri, Perciformes, Percidae. The record is from RefSeq and is a predicted model, not a curated record. The transcript has 3 exons.
UUUGUGGAGUUUUGGCCAUUGUUCAUAUCUAGAAACACUCUGAAAUCUAUCUGCUGAUCUGUGAAUGAAGCUACACAGCUAAAAAGAAGUGGAAGGGCCAAGAGAUUAAAGAAAAUAAACAAAACAACAGGAUGCUUCACACCUGAAAAAUAAAGUUAUCCAGCAAACCCUGUACUUUGUGAUACAGAAAUGCAGCUUUUACAUGACAGUAUGAUGAAUUAAUGAGGUUUUUUUUGUUUGCCUUUUGUCUUACUAUUUAUUGUGGGGGUGAAAGUGAAAACCAGCAAUUAUAUUUCAGAACUAGAAAAGCGGUCAGAGCAUCAGACAGAUUGUAAACAAAGCUCCAGAUUAAUCCAAUUUAUUUGGGUGAAAAUUGAUGAAUGGAGGUGAAUAUUAAAAUAAUUACCCCAACUGUCCCUUUACUGUUUGUUUGUUUACAACCUGUCUGUUGAACAUGAUGUGCCCAUUCACAGAUCUUAAUUUGAUUACAAAGUUAUUAUAAUAGUUAAAUAAAUACUGAUAUGGGAUGAGAGCGAUAAUAAUCAUCUCAUCUAACGCCAAGAAAAAAAAUAAGCGUAAGGAAAAAAAAUGAACAUCUUAAGGACAUUUUUGUGUAAUGUAACUGGGCACUGGCUUCAACCAAACAUGCAGUUCCGUGUCCACUCAGGAAAACAAUGAAUCCGUACCUAUGGAUCUCAUGUUGCCUCCCUCCAACCAUAAACAGGUGCCACCAAAUCACCUCAUUCCUUUGUUGCAGUGAGAGUUGACCAAAUGAAGGUUGUAACCAUUAUUGCUUGAAUGCUUAGUGUUGUCUGAAGAACUCACUGUCAAAGCAGACUUAUUGGAAUUUAAUUCAGGCCAGAUGAUUCUUGUCAGAUUGGACGCUUAUGUGUUCUGAAAUGUCCUCAAAAUGUAAAGUGCUUGUUUCUGCGACUGUGGUUUUGUUUGUCUCGUCUUAUUAUAUCGUGUGUCCCUUAUUCCUAAUCUUGGGAUUAAUCCCAGCAGCCUUCUUUCAGGAAAAAAAGCAAGCAGUAAUGGAAUGGAUGAGUAAAUGUUGCUUUAGAAGUUAUAUUUAAAAAUAAGGUGCUGCCACUCACUGAGCCAAACAACCCUCAAACAUCUCGGAUGAUUUGCAUCUGCAGUAUCUGAGAUGAAGGAGCCUUGGCUGCAGGCUUUCCUACCAGAUGAUUUUAAGGCAAUGUCAAAGCCGAUCAGCGCUGCAGUGAGGACGCGCUAAUAAUAUCCAAAUCAUUUCUGUCAUCUCAUGUGUUCAGCAGCCUCAACAGUAUGUGGGAUUGU